UACGAAGGGGGCUAGCGUUGCUCGGAAUUACUGGGCGUAAAGCGCACGUAGGCGGCUUUCUAAGUCGGGGGUGAAAUCCUGGAGCUCAACUCCAGAACUGCCUUCGAUACUGGAAAGCUCGAGUCCGGGAGAGGUGAGUGGAACUGCGAGUGUAGAGGUGAAAUUCGUAGAUAUUCGCAAGAACACCAGUGGCGAAGGCGGCUCUCUGGGACGGUACUGACGCUGAGACGCGAAAGCGUGGGGAGCGAACAGG
Molecule: ribosomal RNA, 253 nt
Filed under: uncultured bacterium
Lineage: Bacteria
Description: partial 16S ribosomal RNA
Rfam family: Bacterial small subunit ribosomal RNA
Source: RNAcentral